ACCAUACUUUUAAUUCCAUGCAUGAUCUGUUUACAAAUGAGAUUAUGUUGCCAUUGUGUGCUUCAGAUCAGUAUGUUAAUAGACACAGAAGUUUUUUCUGAAGGCGAGGGUGUUGGGUGCGGCUGCUGCAUGCCGGCAACCAGUACGUGCUGAUGGCGAGGCUAGAUAACACGUGACUUUCCUCCGCUUCAUGUCCUUCACCGGAUCUGUCCGCCACCACCCUACCUGCCUCCGCCCCAUCUGUGCAUCGCACAAACGUUCCCUUGCACCACCUGUGGAUGAGGCUGCAGACCAGACCGCGUGCUCCCUUUGUGGCGCUGUUGGAUGCAGGCGAGGGGGCACUCUCCUUGCCUGGCGCUGUGAAGUAGCCGAUGAGGGUGUUGGAUGGGGCUGCCGCAUGCCAGCAGCCAGUACAUGCUGACGGCGAGGCGAGGCAGCACGCGACUUUCCUCCGCUCCAUCUCCUUCACUGGAUCUGUCCACCAGCCCCCUACCUGGCUCCGCGCCAUCUGGGCAUUGCACAACCUAUUGACGUGGCUGUAAACGUGGCUGCAGACCAGACUGCAUCCUCGUGGCUGUUGGAUGCUGGCUAGGGGGCACUCUCCUUGCUCGGCUGUGAAGCAGCCGGACAUGGACGCUGCUGUGGGAAACCUCCACUCGUCGGAUCUGGAGGCUGGGUGCUACCCAUCCAAGGCUUGCGUGAGGUUGAGCUGUAUCCCCACAAGAUCGACAAUGGCGACCUUGCUGCUGCUGUCCAGGACCUCGUCGAUAUCUCCAGCCAAAGGUGCAGCACAUAGACAACGGUGACCAUGUCGGAGUUCUGGAGCCUCUUCACUUACAUCUUCAGUGCCACCGACAUAUACUUUGCUGUUGCAAUUGUCUGAACUCCACAGAGCAGGUAUGCUUGAGAAUAUACACACUAUCUGCUAUAAUGCGAUUGGUGAUCCUUCAGUAAAGGUGCAGCACAUAGACAACGCCGACCAUGUUGGAGUUCCGGAGCCUCUUCACUUACAACAUAUGCUUUGCUGUUGCAACUGUAUGAACUGCACAUAAGCAGGUUCCGCUCUGUCUGGUGCAGUGGACGGUGACGCGUCUUCGCCUGGUCCACCUACGACUGGCUAGCUAUGUGGACGGAGAUGUGGAGCUGGCCCGGAGGCAGCAGUGGCCUUGCUCUACCUUUUGGUGGUGGUAUACAGGUUGUUCUGCUCCGGCUUUGCACGGCUCUGACGCUGGCUGGACAUGCGGUGCGUGUCUGCAGGCCUCGUCGCUUAGCUUACCGGAGGAUAUACGGCGUGGCUUGGCUCCGGUGCCAUUGCCGCCGCCGCUGCUGAAGUUUAAUGUUUGGAGCAGUGUUGUAAAAUUGGGUGGAGUUGGCUUCUUUUGCACCACAUGUGUCAUCACAUGUGUUUGAGUAAGCAGUGCUGUAGUCGAAUCGUAUUUGUCUCUAGCUGCUAGAGACAUUAUUUUUUUCGAUCUGCUGUGUGUUGUAAAUGGGGAAAAAAUAGAGAAGCCUGUAACCAUUUCGUAAACUCUCCCUUGGUUUGGAAAUAAGUGAGUUGUAAUUGUCUACCA
Non-coding RNA from Lolium perenne, 1571 nucleotides. The record is from RefSeq and is a predicted model, not a curated record. Lineage: Eukaryota; Viridiplantae; Streptophyta; Magnoliopsida; Poales; Poaceae.